GACGAACGCUGGCGGCGUGCUUAACACAUGCAAGUCGAACGGAAAGGCCCUGCCUUUGUGGGGUGCUCGAGUGGCGAACGGGUGAGUAACACGUGAGUAACCUGCCCUUGACUUUGGGAUAACUUCAGGAAACUGGGGCUAAUACCGGAUAGGAGCUCCUGCUGCAUGGUGGGGGUUGGAAAGUUUCGGCGGUUGGGGAUGGACUCGCGGCUUAUCAGCUUGUUGGUGGGGUAGUGGCUUACCAAGGCUUUGACGGGUAGCCGGCCUGAGAGGGUGACCGGCCACAUUGGGACUGAGAUACGGCCCAGACUCCUACGGGAGGCAGCAGUGGGGAAUAUUGCACAAUGGGCGGAAGCCUGAUGCAGCAACGCCGCGUGCGGGAUGACGGCCUUCGGGUUGUAAACCGCCUUCGCCUGUGACGAAGCGUGAGUGACGGUAAUGGGUAAAGAAGCACCGGCUAACUACGUG
RNAcentral lists this ribosomal RNA (468 nucleotides) under uncultured bacterium. RNAcentral's name for it is "partial 16S ribosomal RNA". It matches the Rfam family "Bacterial small subunit ribosomal RNA", at positions 28 to 507 of the family's 1533-position model. The record is from RNAcentral.